UUGAACGCUGGCGGCAGGCCUAACCCCUGCAAGUCGAGCGGAUGAAGGGAGCUUGCUCCUGGAUUCAGCGGCGGACGGGUGAGUAAUGCCUAGGAAUCUGCCUGGUAGUGGGGGAUAACGUCCGGAGACGGGCGCUAAUACCGCAUACGUCCUGAGGGAGAAAGUGGGGGAUCUUCGGACCUCACGCUAUCAGAUGAGCCUAGGUCGGAUUAGCUAGUUGGUGGGGUAAAGGCCCACCAAGGCGACGAUCCGUAACUGGUCUGAGAGGAUGAUCAGUCACACUGGAACUGAGACACGGUCCAGACUCCUACGGGAGGCAGCAGUGGGGAAUAUUGGACAAUGGGCGAAAGCCUGAUCCAGCCAUGCCGCGUGUGUGAAGAAGGUCUUCGGAUUGUAAAGCACUUUAAGUUGGGAGGAAGGGCAGUAAGUUAAUACCUUGCUGUUUUGACGUUACCAACAGAAUAAGCACCGGCUAACUUCGUG
Molecule: ribosomal RNA, 483 nt
Filed under: uncultured bacterium
Lineage: Bacteria
Description: partial 16S ribosomal RNA
Rfam family: Bacterial small subunit ribosomal RNA
Source: RNAcentral